Molecule: ribosomal RNA, 460 nt
Filed under: uncultured bacterium
Lineage: Bacteria
Description: partial 16S ribosomal RNA
Rfam family: Bacterial small subunit ribosomal RNA
Source: RNAcentral
CCUACGUGAGGCAGCAGUGAGGAAUAUUGGUCAAUGGGCGCGAGCCUGAACCAGCCAAGUAGCGUGAAGGAUGACUGCCCUACGGGUUGUAAACUUCUUUUAUAAAGGAAUAAAGUGAGGCACGUGUGCCUUUUUGUAUGUACUUUAUGAAUAAGGAUCGGCUAACUCCGUGCCAGCAGCCGCGGUAAUACGGAGGAUCCGAGCGUUAUCCGGAUUUAUUGGGUUUAAAGGGAGCGUAGAUGGGUUGUUAAGUCAGUUGUGAAAGUUUGCGGCUCAACCGUAAAAUUGCAAUUGAUACUGGCAGUCUUGAGUACAGUUGAGGUAGGCGUAAUUCGUGGUGUAGCGGUGAAAUGCUUAGAGAUCACGAAGAACUCCGAUUGCGAAGGCAGCUUACUAAACUGCCACUGACAUUGAUGCUCGAAAGUGUGGGUAUCAAACAGGAUUAGAUACCCCAGUAGUC